UACGGAGGAUGCGAGCGUUAUCCGGAUUUAUUGGGUUUCAAGGGUGCGCAGGCGGUCUGUUAAGUCAGCGGUCAAAGCCCAGGGCUCAACCCCGGCCCGCCGUUGAAACUGGCAGUCUCAAGUUGGAGAGAAGUACGCGGAAUGCGCGGUGUAGCGGUGAAAUGCUUAGAUAUUGCGCAGAACUCCGAUUGCGAAGGCAGCAUACCGGCGCGCAACUGACGCUCAUGCACGAAAGCGUGGGUAUCGAACAGG
RNAcentral lists this ribosomal RNA (252 nucleotides) under uncultured Bacteroidales bacterium. RNAcentral's name for it is "partial 16S ribosomal RNA". It matches the Rfam family "Bacterial small subunit ribosomal RNA", at positions 524 to 776 of the family's 1533-position model. The record is from RNAcentral. Lineage: Bacteria; Pseudomonadati; Bacteroidota; Bacteroidia; Bacteroidales.